RNAcentral lists this ribosomal RNA (445 nucleotides) under uncultured bacterium. RNAcentral's name for it is "partial 16S ribosomal RNA". It matches the Rfam family "Bacterial small subunit ribosomal RNA", at positions 354 to 796 of the family's 1533-position model. The record is from RNAcentral.
GUGAGGAAUAUUGGACAAUGGGCGCAAGCCUGAUCCAGCCAUGCCGCGUGCAGGAAGACGCAUCUAUGGUGUGUAAACUGCUUUUGUACGGGAAGAAACACUCCCUCGUGAGGGAGCUUGACGGUACCGUAAGAAUAAGGAUCGGCUAACUCCGUGCCAGCAGCCGCGGUAAUACGGAGGAUCCAAGCGUUAUCCGGAAUCAUUGGGUUUAAAGGGUCCGUAGGCGGUUUAAUAAGUCAGUGGUGAAAGCCCAUCGCUCAACGAUGGAACGGCCAUUGAUACUGUUAGACUUAAAUUACAAGGAAGUAACUAGAAUAUGUAGUGUAGCGGUGAAAUGCUUAGAUAUUACAUGGAAUACCAAUUGCGAAGGCAGGUUACUACUUGUGGAUUGACGCUGAUGGACGAAAGCGUGGGGAGCGAACAGGAUUAGAAACCCGUGUAGUCC